Long non-coding RNA from Pistacia vera, 2554 nucleotides. RefSeq lists it as uncharacterized. The transcript is spliced from 3 exons. The record is from RefSeq and is a predicted model, not a curated record. Lineage: Eukaryota; Viridiplantae; Streptophyta; Magnoliopsida; Sapindales; Anacardiaceae.
UUUAGGCUAAAAUCCCUAACUACUUACAAUUGAAUUUACCUUCUCUCUCACUCACAUUACAAUCACAAUUCCAUCUCCACUCCACCUUCGACGCUUUUUUAGUUCUCCUUAUUCUCAGUCGCCGCCGAUCACCAGUUGCUCAAGUAAUUAAAACUUCACAUUCCUUUCUCUUUCUUUCCUCUUGUUUAUUUUAAUCUUGAUCUGGAAAUUGAUAAAUGAAACUUGUGUGGUUGCUUCAAAGCUGAUUGGUUUCUGAAAGAUAGAAACUUGAAGUGCAAAAGCAUUUGAACCACUUAACAAAAACCCAUGUAAAAGCAUCCAGGUAGUUUUAAGCAUUGACAUGGAGGAGUCUCAGUCUAUAGAUAUGGAUAUGGUUAAUGUGAGAGAAAGUAGCGAUGCUUCAAUGGUAAUGUUGCUUGCUUCCAAUACUAGUAUUACUACCAGUUUUAAAAGUAUGUAAAACUUCAGAAGUUUAGAAUUACUUUGAUACAUAUUUUGAUGAAAAUGGGAAUAAGAGGGCUAGGUGCAAGGGGUGCAAUAAAUCUUAUGCAUAUGGUAGUUCCACUCAUGGGACUAAAAAUUUGAAGCAUCAUAUAGGAGAUUGUCUAAAACGUGGCAACACUAAUGUAGAGCAAUUAUUGAUUGAUCAUGAUCGUAAAUUACAAAGUAGAAAGAUUAGUCAAGAAAAUUUUCGUGAGAAGAUAGUAUUAUCAAUUAUUAAACAUAAUUGUCUGUAUUCAUAUGUGGAGAAUGAAGGAACCAAGGAUAUCUUUUUAUAUUUGUGUAAGGAAGUUAAACAUUAUACUAGGAACACCACUAAGGCGGAUUGCUUAAAAGUAUAUGGAAGGGUGAAAGAAAAAGCUAAGCUUGAAUUAGAGAGACUUUCUAGUAGAACAUGCUUAACUUAUGAUGUAUGGACUUCUACUACAUCUAAGGGAUAUAUUUCUUUAACAACUCAUUACAUAGAUGAGAAUUGGGUGGUACAAAGUAAAAUACUCAACUUUUUCCAUAUUCCUCCUCCACACUCAGGGAUUGUUUUAGUAGAUAAAGUUUUGGCUUUCUUACAAGAAUGGGGAAAUGAAAAGAAAGCUUUCUCUAUUACUUUGGACAGUGCAAGUAGAACCAACUUUGUGUGCAAAAUGUUUUGUUAUGUAGGGGUGAUUUUUUCCAUGUGUGAUGUUAUGCACAUAUCUUGAAUCUUACUGUUCAAGAAGGGUUAAAAGUUAUUAGUGUGGCUUUAAAUAAGAUUCGAAAAAGUGUGAAAUACAUUAAAGGAACUGAGGCUAGAAGAAUCAAGUUUGGAGAACUUUUUGAACAAAUGAGUGUGGAAAACUCAAUGGGUUUGAGAUUGGACGUUUCCAUUAGAUGGAAUUCAACUUUUUUUAAUCCUUGAAACUGCGUUAAUAUAUCAUCGUGUGUUUGUAGCUUUAUCAACGAUAAAUCAUAGUUAUAAAUAUUGUCCAUCAAAUGAAGAAUGGGAUAGGGGGGAGAGGCUAUGCAAGUUCUUGGAACCAUUUUAUGAGGUUACAACUCUUUUAUCAGGUUCCAAACACCUUACAGAAAACUUGUACCUUAAAUGUGUGUGGGAAAUUCUAUUACGUUUAAAUGAAGAGAGGAUGAGUGAGGAUGAAGUUAUUAGUAGCACAGUGGAACGAAUGAUCCCAAAAUUUGCAAAAUAUUGGGAUUCUUAUAAUGCUGCGUUAACUUAUAGUGUUGUGGUAACUAUUGCAACUAUUCUUGACCCACAUCUAAAGGUUUAAUUUGUGGAGUAUGCUUACAAAAAGGUUUAUGAUUUAACUACUGCCUAACAAAAGAUGGAGGUUUUUAAGCAUAACUUGCAUAAGCUUUUUCAAGCUUACGAGGUUCAAUGUUCCAAAAGGAGUUUCCAUCGCACCUUCAGUUGUUUCUCCUGCGAGUGGUCCUACUCUUAGUAGGUGUAUAGAUCAUACUUGUGAUUUUGAUAACUGUGAGAGUGAAUUUAUUACCACUAAGAAAUCUAAAUUGGAUCUAUAUUUGGAAGAGAUAAGGUUUGAUCACAUCAAAUAUCAUAAUAUUGAUAUCCUCGAGCAUUAGAAGAGCAAUUGUGAUCGUUAUCUGAUACUUGUCAUGAUGGCUCGUGAUUCAUGAGUAUUCCAAUAAUAUUUGUUGCUUCGGAGUCCGCUUUUAGUAUUGACAGCAAAGUGCUCAACAAAUUUUGAAGCUCACUUCAACCAGAAAAUGAAGAAUCUUUGAUAUGCAAUCAGACUUGGCUAUAUGGAUAUGAAAGCAAAGGAAACAUGUUAACAUAAUAUUUCUUAUGUUUUAUUAUUUACAUUUAUUAAUAUUUACAGUUGAUAAUUGUAGAUGAUGAUCUCCAUGUGCCAUUAACUAAUCUAAAGAUUGCGGAAUCAAGAGACUCUACUAUCAUCCCCAUUGUGGAAUGAACAUGAGCUGACCAAGAAUAUCUUUAAUUGAGCAAUGUCAAGUUAAAUUUAGGUUAUGUUUUUGUAUUUGUGUUAUUGACUUAUUGUGUUUGGUAUUUGUUUUUGUGUAUUAGUGUUUAUGUAUUUGUUUU